Carlito syrichta (Philippine tarsier) is the source of this 1233-nucleotide long non-coding RNA. RefSeq lists it as uncharacterized. Lineage: Eukaryota; Metazoa; Chordata; Mammalia; Primates; Tarsiidae. The transcript has 2 exons. The record is from RefSeq and is a predicted model, not a curated record.
GGAUCCGUUUUGGGACUGCUGUGUGACAAGAGGCAGUGAUCCCACCUCCGGGCAAAACACACAUUCCUUGUCCUGCCCAGGAAGGACACAUUCGGCCCCUUGAUCCCUCAGGCCCCUCAGGUCCAUCUUCACAGUGGCUACAGGAUUGAAUCAAUUUCUGACCCUGUUCCUCAGUGUUUCCAUCUGUGAACUGGGAAGGCUGUAUUUGAACCAUUCCCCAGGGGCACUGCAAGUGCUAUGUGGGAUGGUCUUGCAAUGCUCUACCUGCCUUGACACCUGGCAGCGUAGGUACUCCUGACUGAACUCUGAUUUUCAAGGAGAACUUUUCCAGACUGGCCAGAGGAGUUCUGGCCUAACUAGGUUCCAGCUGAGGCUCUGGGAAUGGUCACAGAGUAGUGAAAAGAGCAUUGGCCUGGAUGUGUAGACAACUAGAUUCUGGACCCCAGUACAGCUAGGGGACUCCAGGCAAACCUGGAAAUAAGUCAUUUCAGAUUUGCAACCUCCUCUUUUGUGAAUACAGUGUGGGAUAAUUAUCCGCUUUUCCCCGUUGGAGCCCUGGCAGAUUGGCAAGAAAGGGAUGGUCAUGACUUUUUAAUGAUUGGCAUAGAGGAAUCCUGGGCAUCUUUGAGCUGGUUGCCUUUUCCAGAGAGGCCUUCUGGCAGAGCAAGGACCUGGCGGAUACCAGCUUCAGGCACCCGCCUCACGCAGUCAUGUCUGUGAUCUCAUAGUCCUCUUACCCAUCCUCAUGCCAAAUAAAUGAAGAGAACUUCAUUGUUCAAACAUGACUUCUUUACCUUCCUGUACUCCUGGGCAUCCUGGGUCAUCAUGGGCAGCAGGCUGGUGGAUGAGGAGGACAUCUUAGGGAACCUGAAGGUAAGGUGAUUUCCAUCUUCAGGGCUGCUGUCUGAUAUGUUUAGACUGCUCAGAUCUGGGGGUAGUGUGAUCAGCCUGGAGCCUUUGCUGUCCAUGCCCAUGCACAGGCCUGUGGGGAGAUGCAGGCAGCUGGUCUAGUCUGGACCUUCCUGCAGACUCUGCUGACCUCCUGAGGCUCCUGUCUUCAGCCUUGGGUGGCCUGGGCCAUUCUGCCUCCAUAGUCUGCUAUACCAUGCCAGGGAACAGGGCAGGCUGGGCUUCAGGACCUGCUAAUUCUUGUCUUUAGUGUGCCAGUGAAUACCAGAGUCAGGUUUUCAAUCUGUGUGUCUACAUUGUUAAUAAAAUUCAUUUCUAAUGAAA